This 82-nucleotide transfer RNA is filed under the name Longimicrobium terrae. It matches the Rfam family "tRNA". From Rfam's summary of the family: Transfer RNA (tRNA) molecules are approximately 80 nucleotides in length. Lineage: Bacteria; Pseudomonadati; Gemmatimonadota; Longimicrobiia; Longimicrobiales; Longimicrobiaceae. The record is from Rfam by way of RNAcentral.
GCCUGGGUGGUGAAAUCGGCAAACACAGGGCACUUAAAAUGCCCCGGCGAAAGCCUUACGGGUUCGAGUCCCGUCCCAGGCA